This 5806-nucleotide long non-coding RNA is filed under the name Homo sapiens (human). RNAcentral describes it as "HSALNT0337209". The record is from RNAcentral. Lineage: Eukaryota; Metazoa; Chordata; Mammalia; Primates; Hominidae.
CCAGAGAGAAGCUCCAGAGAGGAGAGAUCCCUCUCCUUUUUUGCCCCAUGCGAUAACAGAGAAAAGACAGCUAUUUAUGAGGAAGUGGGCCCUCACAAACACUGAAUCUGCUGGUGCCUUGAUCAUGCACCUUCUAGCUUCCACAACUGUGAGAAAAUACAUUGCUGAUGUUUAUAUGCCACCUCGCUUAUGGGAGAUUAUGGCAGCCAGAACUGAAUAGGACAAAUACUUGUAGAGCACCUAUUACAUGUGAGCACUACGGGCACAAGAAUAAAGAAAAUAGACCCUAACUUUAAAAAAAAAAAAAAAAAAACGAACAGUCAGCCAGGAGGCUGGCCACUAAAAUGCAAGAGUGCAUGCAGCAGGCACUGUGGGAAGACAGAAGAGUAGAUCCCAGGUGUCUGGGCAGGGCUGUGUGGAGGACAGAAGGUUCUCAGAGCUGUCCUGCAGGAUGCCACGCAGCCUGGGAAGAAGCCAGGAGCCUGGGGGAAUUGUUCUCGCAUCCCAAAUCAGUGGUUCCAGCAACUGUCAACACAAUAAAACUACAGAACUUGAAAGGGGAAAAUGGGAAAAUAAGCACAGAAGGACAGAUGUGCACCAGGGUGAGGAGAUCCCAACCUCUUUAUUAGAGAAAAGACCGGCAACCCUGCGGCUGGGGCUGGUCACAGAAAGGGGGCCUUGUGAGAGGGGCUGCGAUGAGGCAGAUGGAUGCCAAACCUCAAAAGGCUUUGCUGCUGUGCUAGCAAAUUUAGUUUCCUCCCACAGCUGGUCAGGAGCCCAGUGAACUCUAAGCAGGAAACUGCACUGAUCAGAAGAUAAUUUCAUAGUAACUACUCCGACAGCACAGAGAAGCGAUGGAGAAGGAAGGGAAGAAGGGAAAGCCACUGAAUGGCCCACUUGAGACCAGAAAAGCAGAGAACAACACUGUCAGUCUGGAGUAAGUGACAAAAAUAAGAAAGGGAAGUCUAUCCUGAUGCCCAGCCAGGGAAAAAUGGGAAGAAAGAGAAGAGAAGAGAAGAGACAGAGAGGUUAUCGCAGGAGUGGGACUGGUGACUAAAGAGGAAAUGAGACCUAAGCUAGCCUCCUUGCCAUGUGAUACUCUGCACCACCUUGAGACUCUGCAGAGAGUACCCACCAACAAGGAAGCUCUCACCAGAUGCGCCCCCUUGACCUUGGACUUCUCCACCUCCAGAACAGUACAAAAUAAAUUUCAUUUCUCAUAAAUUACUCAGUUUCAGAAAUCCUGUUUAAGCAACAGAAAAUGGACUAAGCUACUGCCCUGCUGAUCAGCCAGCCACCUGUACAUGUGCACACCCAGAUGACAUAUGCAAGAAUGUUCAGACCAUGGUAGAUGUUUCCAAAGAUGGCCCCCAUCAAGUCCUUACCCCUGUGCAUGCAUAUGCCCCUUCUCCCAUUCAGUUACCCCCCUUCCCUUGAGACUGAGUUGGUGCUGUAACUGCUUUUACCAAUAGGAUGCAGACAAAAAUAAUGUUCUGAGAAUUUCGAGAUCAAAACCUAACAGACUGAUAGCUUCCAUGUCCUUCUUCUUGGAACAUUCACUCAUAGAAUGCUCCCUCUCAGAACACAGAUACCAUGAGAGAAGUCCAACCGGGUCAUGUGGAGAGGCCACAUGGAAAAGAACUGAGGCCCAACAGCCCACACCACCUUCCAGUCAUGGGAAUGAACCUUAUUGGAUGUUCCAGCUUUGUCAAACCCCCAGAUGGCUUCAGACCCAACCAAGUUUAUGUGAAACAGAAGAGUCACACAGCUGAACCCACUCAACCCACUAAAUUGUGAGAGAUAAUAACAGGUUGUUGUUUGAAGCCACUACACUUUUUUGUGGUUAUGCCGCAACAGAAAAAUGAAACGCAGACCUCUCAAAAUCACAAGUCCACACUGUGAAUAUAUAAAUUUUAGCAAAGCACCCACUAUAGGCCUGCUUCUUUAAUAUAUAUUUUCUCAGUUAAUGCUCAAAACUAUGCUAAGACAUCAGCUUUCUCAUGGCAGAGAGAUUAUGUAAGAGGCAGAACUGAAACUCAAGGCACACUUCCUGGCCCUAAUUGAUGUGUUUGUCUCACUGCAUCUCAGAAGCUGGGACAAGUGACUCUGCGGGGUCAAUUCUCAGCUCUCUGAACAUGUAUCUGCUUUGGGGAUCAGUAUUACCAUGUGUGUUUUCAGGAUCAUGCUCUUCUAUCAUGUAGCCACCAAUGUGCGGCAAUGGAGAACUUUUUAUACAGUAUCCUAACAAAAAUUAGGAAGUCAUCAUUAGAUUCCCCCAAUCAAAUGUAUAAGACAGUACAGAAACAUAAUAAAAGCACAUCUAAAAGCCUCUUGGUAGAUUCAUGCAUCAGAUAAGAUGAUGGGUUAUACAAACUCUGAAGUCCUUUUUCUUCCAGCAAUCUAUGACCUGCCAAGCGCUGUGCAUAAUUCCUUACGUGCAUGAUCUCAUUUAACUUUCUCAAUAAGCCUAUACUUAUAAAGCAGAAACUGUUUUCUUUAGAGGUCUUUGGGGUCUUACUCUGUUACCCUGCUUGGUAUGCAGUGUGCAAACACAGCUCACUUUAACCUCAAACUCCUACACUCAGGACAUCCUCCCACCUCCACCUCCUGAGUAACUGGAACUACAGGCAAACACCACCGUGAGCAGCUAAUUUAACUUAUUUAUGUAUUUAUUUUUUAUUUGUUUAUUUUUAUCUUUUUUUAUUUUUUUAUUUUUUUGAGACAGAGUCUCGCUCUGUCGCCCAGGCUGGAAUACAGUGGCGCCAUCUCGGCUCACUGCAACCUCCACCUCUUGGGUUCAAGCAAAUCUCCUGCCUCAGCCUCCCAAGUAGCUGGGAUUACAAGUGCCCACCACCAUGCCUGGCUAAUUUUUUUUUUUUUUUUUUUUUUGUAUUUUUAGUAGAGACAGGGUUUCACCAUGUUGACCAGGCUGGUCUCGAACUCCUGACCUCAGGUGAUCUGCCCGCCUCCACCUCCCAAAGUGCUGGGAUUACAGGUGUGAGCCACUUUGCCCGGCAGUAACUGCUUUUAUCUCCACCUUAUAGAUGAGAAAACUAAGGCUUAGAGAAGCAAGAACACAGAAAUAGUAAGUGGCAGAGCCAAGAUUAAACACCACAGGUCUCCCAGAUCCACAGUCUAAAUUUUGUCAUAAAAUAUACAGUUUCCAUUCCUGCACUAGGAACAUAAUUUGUGGACUUGCUUGGAUUAUACAUAUUCCAAGAAAUUGUCCCAACUCCCAAAGAGCCAUCCCAGCUGCACCACAGGUCAUGAGGUGUGCAAGAAUCUAUCUGGUACAGCAUAAAACCAUGGAAGCUGCAGGUAAAGCCAGAACCCAAGCCAACUUCCACUUCCCACCCUGGGGAGAAGUUGGAGACUGAGUGUAUAAACACUAAGCCUACAAAUCUGCACCAACUGUUCUAUGGAAUAAACUUCUGAAUUGCAGCUCUAGUUUAUCUUUCAGAACAAGGCCAAGCAAUAACUCCGUAAAGAAAUGCCUACAAGGAUGACCUCUGGAAACACUUCAUAAUUUAAAAACCAGAAUAGCUGGGCACCACUGAUCCCACAGCCAAGUAGGUCAAGGCUGUGGCCCCUGCCAGUUCUACAAAUUCAUAUCUGCUUUAUCUGAAUUCAUUCAGGGUCAUGAAUAGAAGGGUAGGUUAUCUGAAGUUCUGACGUCUUCCCUUCAUUACCAGACAUACCAGCCAACAACUGGGUUUUAGGGUACUGAGUACAAGGACAUCUGGCUCAACAAAACUGAACAAGUCAGAAUUUGCGGUUGGGAACAGAGGUCAUUAAAGGAUUUACACAGCAAAGAGCAUGUCAGUGUGAUCUCCAAAUUUAAGGUAACAUUUCAGAGAAGGUUUCAUAUCAGAUCAACAUAAAACCAAUUUAAAUCUAUAAUAAACUCCAUUUCUUCAUCUUGUAUCUUAAUGCUAAAAUGUACUCUGCAAAACACAGGAUGCUAAACUAUGCACCCUGGAUAUAUUCACAGAUAGGAAUUACUUCCAGAAAGAGCAUGAACUAGUAAGCAUAUUACAGGAAAAUUAAUUUUUAUAAGUUUUUUUCUUACAAAAAUCAGAGUCUUUACACAGUAUCCUAACAAAAAUUAGGAAGUUUCAUUAGAUUUCCACUAUCAAAUUUACAAGGCAAUAUAGAAACAUAGUAAAAGCACAUUUAAAAGCCACUUGGUAGAUUUAUGCAUUAGAUAAGGUGAUAAAUUAUAUGACCUCUAAAGUUCUAUUUCAUAUAUGUAUAUAUAUUUGCAUAAGAAACUAAAUCACAAAGGACAAGUUUAUCUCUAUAAUAAAUCUUUCAAAAAAUAUUCUGACUUUCCACACUGAAAUAUUUAAGUUUUAGGUAAGAGGUAGAUAAGGUAAGUGGUGAUUCUCAUUUAUUUCAAAGCCAGAGUCUACUAACACCCAUAAUUCAUAAGCACUAAACCCACGGGAAAGAGGGAAGGAAGACAACAUAAAGGAGGGAAGGAGCAAAGAAAUAAAGGAGAGAGAAUAGAAAGGAAGGAAGAAAAGAAAGGAAGGAGAAAGAAGGGAGGAAGGAGGAGGGAGGGGACUAAAGGAAGGGAGGGGUGAGGAAGGAGGAAGGAAGAGAGGAGGGCAGGGAGGGAAAACCACCCACCGCUGGGCUGUGAUAAAUGACAAUAAAUCCCAAAACCCUGAAAACCUGAAAACUGCAAUCUACAAUUCACUGAUCAGUUCAGUAGUCACUAGGUAAGAAGCAAAACUUGAGUCCAGCUGUCAUGAAAAUCAAGAAAUGUAAAUGAAACAAAAAGGAAAAAAAAAUGUCAUGACAAAAGAAAGAAUAUCGGGGACAGUUAAAAAUAGGAGGAAGAUCUAACUGCCUUUUUUGCAGAAAUUAACAAGCCUAAAAUUCAUAUGGAAAUACAAGGUAACCAAAAUAGCCUAAACAGUCUUGAAAAAGAAGAAAGCUGGAGGCCUCACACUUCCUGAUUUCACAACUUUUUACAAAGCAAAAGUAAUCAAGACUAUGUGGUACUGGCAUAAGGACAAAAACAUAGAUCAAUGGAAAUCAAAUGGAGACUAUGGGAAUAAACUCACACAUUUAUGGUCAAUUGAUUUUUUACAAGGGUGAUACGAAAAUCCAAUGGCGCUAAGAAAAUCCAAUGGCAAAAGAAUGGUGUUUUCAACAAAUGAUGCUGGGACAAUUAGAUAUCCACAUGCAAAAGAAUGAAGCUGGCCCCCUAACUCACAUGAUAGAUAAAAAUUAACUCAAAAUGGAGCAAUGACCUAACUGUAAGAGCAAAAAUAUCUAACUCUUAGAAGAAAACAUAGGUGUAAAUCUCUGUGACAUUGAAUUGGGCAAUGCUUUCUUACGUAAGACAACGAAAGCACAAACAACAAAAGAAAAAACAGAUAAAUACGGACUUCAUCCAAAUUAAAACAUUUUGUGCUUCAAAAGACAUUAUCAAGAAAAUGAAAAACAACCCACAAGAUGAUAGAAAAUAUUUGCAAAUCAUAUAUUUGAUAAGGGGCUUGUAUCCAGAAUAGAUACAGACUAUUACAACUCAGGAAUAAAAUGACCAAUUUAAAAAUAAGCAAAGAAUCUGAACGGACAGUUCUCCAAAGAUAUACAAAUGGCCAACAAACACAUGAACAGAGGUCAACACCAUUAGUCAUUAGGUAAAUGCAAAUCAAAACCACAGUAAGGUACCACUUCACAUCCACUAGGAUGGCUUAAUAAAAGACAAGAUAAUAACAAGCACUGGUGAAGAUGUUGAGAAACUGGAACCUUCAUUCAUUGUUGGUACGACAAAAUGGUACAGCCACUUUAG